Molecule: ribosomal RNA, 491 nt
Filed under: uncultured Acetivibrio sp.
Lineage: Bacteria; Bacillati; Bacillota; Clostridia; Acetivibrionales; Acetivibrionaceae
Description: partial 16S ribosomal RNA
Source: RNAcentral
CACGUAGUUAGCCGUGGCUUGUUCUUGAGGUACCGUCAUUAUUCGUCCCUCAUCAAAGAAGUUUACGAUCCGAAAACCUUCAUCCUUCACGCGGCGUUGCUGCAUCAGGGUUUCCCCCAUUGUGCAAUAUUCCCCACUGCUGCCUCCCGUAGGAGUCUGGGCCGUGUCUCAGUCCCAAUGUGGCCGAUCAACCUCUCAGUUCGGCUACCAUCGUCGCCUUGGUGGUCCGUUACACCACCAACUAGCUAAUUGGACGCGGGUCCAUCUUAUACCGGAUUGCUCCUUUGAUCAUCAUAUGAUGCCAUACAAUGAUAUUAUGCGGUAUUAGCACAAGUUUCCCUGUGUUAUCCCCCUGUAUAAGGCAGGUUACCCACGCGUUACUCACCCGUCGCCGCUAAGAUAUAUAUCCGAUAAACUCUUCAAUAUAUCUCCGCUCGACUUGCAUGUGUUAGGCACGCCGCCAGCGUGUCCUGUCGCACGGAUCGAACUCU